CCUACGGGAGGCAGCAGUGAGGAAUAUUGGUCAAUGGACGAGAGUCUGAACCAGCCAAGUAGCGUGAAGGAUGACUGCCCUAUGGGUUGUAAACUUCUUUUAUAUGGGAAUAAAACGUUCCACGUGUGGGAUUUUGUAUGUACCAUAUGAAUAAGGAUCGGCUAACUCCGUGCCAGCAGCCGCGGUAAUACGGAGGAUCCGAGCGUUAUCCGGAUUUAUUGGGUUUAAAGGGAGCGUAGGUGGAUUGUUAAGUCAGUUGUGAAAGUUUGCGGCUCAACCGUAAAAUUGCAGUUGAAACUGGCAGUCUUGAGUACAGUAGAGGUGGGCGGAAUUCGUGGUGUAGCGGUGAAAUGCUUAGAUAUCACGAAGAACUCCGAUUGCGAAGGCAGUUCACUGGACUGCAACUGACACUGAGGCUCGAAAGUGUGGGUAUCAAACAUGAUUAGAUACCCGUGUAGUC
This 460-nucleotide ribosomal RNA is filed under the name uncultured bacterium. RNAcentral describes it as "partial 16S ribosomal RNA". It matches the Rfam family "Bacterial small subunit ribosomal RNA", at positions 338 to 795 of the family's 1533-position model. The record is from RNAcentral.